CGCGUGGGGGAUGACGGCCUUCGGGUUGUAAACCUCUUUCAGCAGGGACGAAGCGCAAGUGACGGUACCUGCAGAAGAAGCACCGGCCAACUACGUGCCAGCAGCCGCGGUAAUACGUAGGGUGCGAGCGUUGUCCGGAAUUACUGGGCGUAAAGAGCUCGUAGGUGGUUUGUCGCGUUGUUCGUGAAAACCGGGGGCUUAACCCUCGGCGUGCGGGCGAUACGGGCAGACUAGAGUACUGCAGGGGAGACUGGAAUUCCUGGUGUAGCGGUGGAAUGCGCAGAUAUCAGGAGGAACACCGGUGGCGAAGGCGGGUCUCUGGGCAGUAACUGACGCUGAGGAGCGAAAGCGUGGGGAGCGAACAGGAUUAGAUACCCUG
RNAcentral lists this ribosomal RNA (379 nucleotides) under uncultured bacterium. Its description in RNAcentral is "bacterial SSU rRNA". It matches the Rfam family "Bacterial small subunit ribosomal RNA", at positions 398 to 789 of the family's 1533-position model. The record is from RNAcentral.